AGGUUGUUGAAGUGAAGACAGAAUGAUACCGUCCAUGACUUUGGAGUCAAGUGGAGAGGAAUCUGCCAUCAAGUUUGUGGCUGUUGAACAGUUACCCACAAUAAGCUGAGAACAUUUAGCAGCUCUCCCCGGGGAAAGCAGUAGGAAGGACAGCAGGAGGACACAUCACCAAGCCUGGGCCACGAUUCCUACAGUGUCACUCAGAGCUUUCUGGGUGCCACACCCCAAAAGUAGUUUUUUUUUUCUUUUUUUUUUUUUUCAUUUCACAGAGGUAAAUGAGCAGUUGGGUUUUUUGUUUGUUUGUUUGUUUAUCAAAUAAAGUUCCUGUUGUGGCACAGCAGAAACAAAUCUGACUAGUAUCCAUGGAUGCAGGUUUGAUCCCUGGCCUCGCCUAGUGGGUCAGGGACCCAGCGAUGCUGUGAGCUGUGGUGCAGGUUGCAGACAAGGCUCAGAUCCUGCAUUGCUGUGGCCAGCAGUUUAUAGCUCCAAUUCGACCCCUAGCCUGGGAACUUCCAUGUGCCAUGGGUGUGGCCCUAAAAAGCAAAAAAUUAAAAAAAAAAAAAGCUUUAGGUUUUUAAAGUUCCAUGUCAGAAAAUAUCCUUGCAGUGUGCAAAUGGAGACAUGUCAGUCCAUGUAGAAACGUAUUUUUCUUUUUUUGUGUAAUUAAAUCAGACACCUGGGAAAGCACGGUGAUAGUUGAGGUCAUUAGGAGACUGCUGAUGCAGCAGUGAAAAGUAAAGCAAAAAUGGCCAGCAUCUGUGGCCAUCUGAGUGUAUUCAGCACCCUAGGAAAAUGACUCAGGCUUGCCGUAUGUGUGAAUUUUAUCGAAAACGGAAGCUUUUAAAAACAUGUGUUUUUUAAAGCGUAUUACCCAUUUUGCUGAAGAAAAAUACUUAUAAAAUACUUCCACUGUCCCUGCCCUCAGUGGAACCUGGAGACUUUAGUCCAUGUGGCCAGCCAUCCAACACCACCGCUUGAACUAUCGCUUGUGUUUAAGCCACGGUACCGGUCGUCCUCACGGUAGAUGGGGCUGUGUAGACCGUUUGCCUUUACCUUCAGUAGCCCCCCAGAUGCCUUGUUUGUUGAGUUAUGGGUCUCAUUUCAUAGGCUUCCUGCUUCACUUUUACUCCCACACCUGCUGUGUUUUUGCACCUGAUGGGAGCUGCAUGCCCCUGGGACCUAUCAAUCUGUCCUUUCACUGUUUAGCCGAAAUUUGGUUUAACUGGAAAUCCUGUAAUUUACUUGGCAACUUGACCACACCCCCUCUUCAGGAAAUCCUGAAGAAAGGAGCCCUGCUUCCUCAGCACGUCGUCGCAAGGGAGAUAGCCGGCAGCUAGGACCUUACAGAUUCCCACAAAAGAUACCCAUGCCCAGCACAGAAAAGGCAUAGGGGUCCUGUGUUCUUCAAGCUAAGAAGGUGUUACAAUGAUCAGGUGAUAUUACAAGGCAUCAUGUGAUACCUCUAAGCCUGAAGGACUCGUGAGAACAAGGCUAGAGUUUUCCAAGACACCUCUUAGGUGGACCCUUGUCUGAAUCCCAAAGUUUCUGUGUCCAUUUAGCAUUAUGUAAUAGUUAGACACAAGGAGAAAUAGCUCAAAAAAAGGAAAGUUAAUCUUAACUCACAUACAGUCUGGAGGAGGCCCUAACAAGGAUGAUGAGGUGGCCUCACAAAUCAUCAAAGACCCAGGCUUCUUCCUGCUGUCCAUUUCACCAUGCCUCUUAGACUAAGAUGGCUGCUGGGGCUCCAGCCCUCACAUACACAUUCCAGAAAGAAGAACACAAGAAGAGAAAGAUGAAGGAUGCCAUCCUUUGUUGUCUUCAAAAGCUACCACCCUGGGGUAAUACUUUGUUUCUAUUCCUUGACCAGAACUGAACCACACAGCCACUUCUAUUUGCAUGGGAGACUAGGAAAUGCAGUCUCAUUCAUGAGAAAUUUUAUGAGCAUUUGAAGAUGCUGCUACUGAAAUUUACAUAUAGAAGCCUCAGCCAUGUCCUCUGUGUUGACUUUGCAGUAUGUCAGCUCGGCUUGGCUGAAUUACGCUUCCCAGAAAUCCCCUUCCUGUAUGAAUCACUGCAAAGGAGAAUAUCCUUGGGGGUCAGGAGGGUGGGAGGGAAGCAGCCCCCAUCUUGCAGGUCAUCUGCUGACUGCGUGUUGGUGUGAGGCAGCGGCUGGGUCUGCACGAGCUCCACCCUCCCUGCCUUCCCCUCAGCUUCUCCACGUCACAGGGCAGGUGUGGAUGCGUUAGCUCCCUGAGGAGGGGCCCUGUGUUCUCAGGAACCCUCCUCACCAGGGUCAGAGGCAGCAGUAAGGCCAAGGGUCAGUCCAUCCUCGUGUCAGCCCGCCCUGCUUGUGGGCUCAGCCUGCUCCCUACCUGCCCCCUGGGCGCGCCUCCUCCCUUCCUGCCGCUGCCCUGGGGACUUCCUGCCCCAGCAUCAGGGGCAGGAACACCAGCCUUAUGGGGGCUGCUCACCAGCUUGGCAAGGGUGUCACCAGAGCUCUGUAAUAGAUCCCUGCAAUUGUAGGUAACUCUGUAGUGACUGUGACUAGAAGUAUUCCCGUAUCUGUAUCAGUCAAGUUAUCUAUUUAGAUCUAGACGACAUUGAAUAGAGAGAUACUUGUGUGUGUGUGUGUGUGUGUGUGUGUAUGAUGGAGAUAUAGAGAAUAUAUAUAGUACAUGGAUGGCUAUGCCUUCUAUCUCUUUAGUUGGAAUAUAUGUCAUAUCUAUAUCUUUAUAUAUCUUAUAUAUCGAUCACUGUAUCUGUAGGUAUAUCUAUAUGCGGUAUGUUAUUUAUCAGUGUAUUCUUGAUAUAGAUACCAUCUACCUGAUUGAUAGCGAGCUGUAUCUUACUGAUCUGCAUGUUAAUUUUAUGUAUACAUACACAUAUAUUUCUCAUGGGUCUAUCACCAGCUAUAGAUGUGGACCUUCUGCUGGUCUCCUUUGGUUGAACCCUGACAGAUAAACUGUCCCUCUCACAGCCACCUGCCCUCCGCAAGCUCCAAAGACGUAACAGACCCUUGGUGAAGUAGGAUGAACUCACCCCCAUACACAGACACACACAGACACACACACACACACACACACACACACCCCUCAAGCUGGACUAUUUCACCAGCUUCAUGAAUUAGAGGGACAAAUGACCAUGGAGGGAAAUUGGGCAACAUCAUGGUGAUUCAGUCUUGAGCACACCCAAGGUUCUGAGUUAAGAUCCGUGUCUCCACUCUUACUUCCAUUUCCUUUCCGGUGUCAAAUCGCACUGCCUCCGUAGUGAAAAGGCCACCUCUGCAGAUGAAUGUUUAAAUACACCUGAGAUUACGGAUCAUGUCUUAGAUUUGGGGACCUUGAACAGACCUUGUAAUGACUGUUCCCAGGAGUCCCUGCUCCUCCUGGAAUUGCCCAGGUUAAAUGUUAUUUUAUCAGAGUCACUUUUGAAGGAAGUAAUGGGGUUUCUGAUUUUUCGGGGGGAGCAGGGGCUGUGCCCAUGGAAUUGGAACGUUCGCAGGCCAGGGAUUGAACCCAUGCCAAAGCAGUGACCAUGCCAAAUCUGAAACCAUUAGGUUACCGGAGAUCUCCAGGAUUUCUGAUGUCUUUUGAGGCUAAAGGGCUACCGUUCUACCUCGGGUGCUAACGGGGUACCUGGAUUUCUAACAUUUUAAGAUUCUUUUUCAUUCUCGAAAGCAAAAGGAGGUAGAGGUACCUAAGUAGCCAAUUAGAAAAGAACAUUUUUUUUAAAAAAGGUGAAAACUUUAAGGGAAAAGGAUGGAUUGGGAAAAAUUUUUAAAUAUCUUAAAGACUUGUUUGGAAAGUUAAGAUUGAAUUGAUACAACUCUGGAAAUUGUGGGGAAAUUGCACAAAGCUUUGCAAGAUUCACGUGAAGUUUGGGCAAUGAUGCUUGUUGAAUCAAGCUGACUGUAGAGAAAGGAAUCUAGAGACAAGAUCUCUCGACAUGUUUUGCAAUUUCUGUAUGUCCUAAAUGAAGGAGCACGGAGGCAGUUAAUGAGGAAGGGAAUAUGUAGAUAAGACUCCUUCCUCCUCCCCCUCCCCUUCAGCCUCUUCCUUCUAAGUUGAAAGUAUUAUAGCCUCGAAGAGAAGGGCUUGCUUCUCAACUGCUGAAAUCCUAUGAAGUCUGGCAUUUGGUCUCAUUUUUUAAAAAUUUUAUUUUAUUUUAUUUUAUUUGCUUUUUAGAGUUGCACUCGCAGCGUAUGGAAGUUUCCAGGCUAGGGGUCAAAUCAGAUCUGUAGCUGCUGGCCUCCACCACAGCCACAGCAACGUGGGAUCUGAGCUGCAUGUGAGACCUACAUUGCAGCUCACGGCAAUGCUGGAUCCUUAACCCACUGACCAGGGUUAAGGGACCGAACCUGCAUCCUCAUGGAUACUAGUCAGGUUGGUCACCCCUGAGCCACAUUGGGAACUUCUUAUUUCUCUUUCUUAAGAGAACCUAACAAUCCAAAUGCUGGACUAGGAUACAUUGUAUCAAACCUUCAUGCUUUUUUGUUUUCCUUUGGUAACCAAGCUCAAGGAGUUCCCACCAGGGCACAAUGGGUUAAGAACCUGACUGCAGCAGCUGGGUCUGGUCCCAGACCUGGCACAGUGGGUUAAAGAAUCUGGAGUUGUUGCAGUUAUGGUGUAGGUCACAGCCAUGGCUUGAAUUGGAUCCCUUGUCUGGGAACUUCCAUAUGCCGUGGUGCAGCUGUUAAAAAAUACACCCAAAGAAACAAGGUAUCCUUUAUCAUUUACAGAGGAUGUCCAUCUGACAGGGAAGCUGCCUCUGUAACUGCGGUUAUCAGGGAUACGCAUAGAAGAACAGUAGACUCCCUGGACCCUACGUUUGAGUUAAAUGAAGUGAGCUGAUGUAGCCAACAUAGUCUGAGAGCACACAGGGUUUACUCUCCUGCUAGAAGGUACACGCCUCACAUGCAUUUAUAAAUUUCAUGAAUAUACUCAAUUGAAAAAAGUGACCUGAAGUCUCUACAUAGGUGUGUGUAGUGCAGGACAUUUGCGACUUCACAUUAGAAUAUUUGCUAUGAAGUGGCUUUGGGACACUGGCACCCUCAUCAGCCUAGAAGACUAUUGUCAGAGGUGAACACCUGAGUCACACGUUAAGACAGUGCUGGCGACCGACCAGGAUCCAUCGGAAGCAGGAAGGUGCCUCUGAUACUCAGCGCGUCAUGCCUUAUGCUCGCAGAACAAACUGUGCCUCAGAUGUCCCCACGUGGAGCCUGUCCAGGAGAGGAAAAAAGGGAUUUCUCUGCUUCAGUUUGGAACUUCUCUUGCACAUCGCACUGUCCACCAUGCAGUUUGUAAAGCCUGUUGGGGCUCUGGGGAAUUGUGGCUGAUUCUAAAAUAUUUGGAAGGAUCAAGAGUA
RNAcentral lists this long non-coding RNA (5364 nucleotides) under Sus scrofa (pig). RNAcentral's name for it is "lncRNA (ENSSSCG00005023948.1)". Lineage: Eukaryota; Metazoa; Chordata; Mammalia; Artiodactyla; Suidae. The record is from RNAcentral.